RNAcentral lists this ribosomal RNA (404 nucleotides) under uncultured bacterium. RNAcentral's name for it is "bacterial SSU rRNA". It matches the Rfam family "Bacterial small subunit ribosomal RNA", at positions 362 to 758 of the family's 1533-position model. The record is from RNAcentral.
UUUUGGACAAUGGACGCAAGUCUGAUCCAGCCAUGCCGCGUGCGGGAAGAAGGCCUUCGGGUUGUAAACCGCUUUUGUCAGGGAAGAAACGGACUGGGUUAAUACCUUGGUCUAAUGACGGUACCUGAAGAAUAAGCACCGGCUAACUACGUGCCAGCAGCCGCGGUAAUACGUAGGGUGCAAGCGUUAAUCGGAAUUACUGGGCGUAAAGCGUGCGCAGGCGGUUAUGCAAGACAGAUGUGAAAUCCCCGGGCUCAACCUGGGAACUGCAUUUGUGACUGCAUGGCUAGAGUACGGUAGAGGGGGAUGGAAUUCCGCGUGUAGCAGUGAAAUGCGUAGAUAUGCGGAGGAACACCGAUGGCGAAGGCAAUCCCCUGGACCUGUACUGACGCUCAUGCACGAAA